AUGGCUUCAGGGUCGGGGGUGCCCGAUCUGGAAACCAUGAUGGAAGAGCUCGGGUUGAACAAAGAGAAUAUUCAAGAUGUGAUUGUUGAGGAUGACGAUCUACCGGAAGAAUCUGUCAGAUGGAUGGCGAUUGCUAGGGUACAUACGGAUAAAACUUACAGUCAGUACUAGUUCUACCGCAAUAUGAGGGCCGCAUGGGAUCUUGCUCGAGAAGUUAAGAUCCGCCCGCUGGAAGAUAAUCUAUAUACUAUGCAGUUCAUGUGCCUCGGUGACUGGGAG
This 279-nucleotide ribosomal RNA is filed under the name Triticum aestivum (bread wheat). RNAcentral describes it as "partial small subunit ribosomal RNA". Lineage: Eukaryota; Viridiplantae; Streptophyta; Magnoliopsida; Poales; Poaceae. The record is from RNAcentral.